GGCUAGAUAACAUAAUGGCAAUGUAUUGGAUUGCAAAUCCUGUAAUGGCGGUUCGAUUCCGCCUCUAGCCU
Molecule: transfer RNA, 71 nt
Filed under: Chloropicon roscoffensis
Lineage: Eukaryota; Viridiplantae; Chlorophyta; Chloropicophyceae; Chloropicales; Chloropicaceae
Description: tRNA-Cys
Rfam family: tRNA
About the family: Transfer RNA (tRNA) molecules are approximately 80 nucleotides in length.
Source: RNAcentral